This 465-nucleotide ribosomal RNA is filed under the name uncultured bacterium. RNAcentral's name for it is "SSU rRNA". It matches the Rfam family "Bacterial small subunit ribosomal RNA", at positions 26 to 518 of the family's 1533-position model. The record is from RNAcentral.
AGGACGAACGCUUGCGGCGUGCCUAAGAAAUGCAAGUCGAACGGGGGCUUCGGCCCUAGUGGCGAACGGUCGCGUAACACGUGGGCAACCUGCCCUGAAGCGGGGGACAACAUUCCGAAAGGAGUGCUAAUACCGCAUGUGGAUCCGAGAGGCAUCUCUCGUAUCUAAAGCCUUCGGGCACUUCAGGAUGGGCCCGCGGCCUAUCAGCUAGUUGGUGGGGUAACGGCCUACCAAGGCUUCGACGGGUAGCUGGUCUGAGAGGACGACCAGCCGGAUUGGGACUGAGAUACGGCCCAGACUCCUACGGGGGGCAGCAAUUAGGAAUCUUGCGCAAUGGGGGAAACCCUGACGCAGCGACGCCGCGUGAAGGAUGAAGUAUCUAGGUAUGUAAACUUCUUUUAUUGAGGAAGAAGAAUGUGACGGUACUCAAUGAAUAAGCCCGGCUAACUACGCGCCAGCAGCCGC